GACGAACGCUGGCGGCGUGCUUAACACAUGCAAGUCGAACGGAAAGGCCCUGCUUUUGUGGGGUGCUCGAGUGGCGAACGGGUGAGUAACACGUGAGUAACCUGCCCUUGACUUUGGGAUAACUUCAGGAAACUGGGGCUAAUACCGGAUAGGAGCUCCUGCUGCAUGGUGGGGGUUGGAAAGUUUCGGCGGUUGGGGAUGGACUCGCGGCUUAUCAGCUUGUUGGUGGGGUAGUGGCUUACCAAGGCUUUGACGGGUAGCCGGCCUGAGAGGGUGACCGGCCACAUGGGGACUGAGAUACGGACCAGACUCCUACGGGAGGCAGCAGUGGGGAAUAUUGCACAAUGGGCGGAAGCCUGAUGCAGCAACGCCGCGUGCGGGAUGACGGCCUUCGGGUUGUAAACCGCUUUCACCUGUGACGAAGCGUGAGUGACGGUAAUGGGUAAAGAAGCACCGGCUAACUACGUG
RNAcentral lists this ribosomal RNA (468 nucleotides) under uncultured bacterium. RNAcentral's name for it is "partial 16S ribosomal RNA". It matches the Rfam family "Bacterial small subunit ribosomal RNA", at positions 28 to 507 of the family's 1533-position model. The record is from RNAcentral.